GUGGGGAAUAUUGGACAAUGGGGGGAACCCUGAUCCAGCCAUGCCGCGUGUGUGAAGAAGGCCUUUUGGUUGUAAAGCACUUUAAGCGAGGAGGAGGCUACCGAGAUUAAUACUCUUGGAUAGUGGACGUUACUCGCAGAAUAAGCACCGGCUAACUCUGUGCCAGCAGCCGCGGUAAUACAGAGGGUGCAAGCGGUAAUCGGAUUUACUGGGCGUAAAGCGCGCGUAGGUGGCCAAUUAAGUCAAAUGUGAAAUCCCCGAGCUUAACUUGGGAAUUGCAUUCGAUACUGGUUGGCUAGAGUAUGGGAGAGGAUGGUAGAAUUCCAUGUGUAGCGGUGACAUGCGUAGAGAUCUGGAAGAAUACCGAUGGCGAAGGCAGCCAUCUGGCCUAAUACUGACACUGAGGUGCGAAAGCAUGGGGAGCAAACAGGAUUAGAUACCCUUGUAGUCC
RNAcentral lists this ribosomal RNA (451 nucleotides) under uncultured bacterium. RNAcentral's name for it is "partial 16S ribosomal RNA". It matches the Rfam family "Bacterial small subunit ribosomal RNA", at positions 354 to 796 of the family's 1533-position model. The record is from RNAcentral.